This 253-nucleotide ribosomal RNA is filed under the name uncultured bacterium. RNAcentral describes it as "partial 16S ribosomal RNA". It matches the Rfam family "Bacterial small subunit ribosomal RNA", at positions 524 to 776 of the family's 1533-position model. The record is from RNAcentral.
UACGUAGGUGGCAAGCGUUGUCCGGAUUUACUGGGCGUAAAGGGCGUGCAGGCGGUCUGUUAAGUCUAGGGUGAAAGCUCCCGGCUCAACUGGGAGAGGUCCUUGGAUACUGGCGGACUUGAGGGAUGCAGAGGAAAGUGGAAUUCCCGGUGUAGUGGUGAUAUGCGCAGAUAUCAGGAAGAACACCAGCGGCGAAGGCGGCACUCUGGGCUGGAAUUGACGCUGAGGAGCGAAAGUGUGGGUAGCAAACAGG